UACGACGGGGGCUAGCGUUGCUCGGAAUGACUGGGCGUAAAGGGCGCGUAGGCGGAUUGUACAGUCAGGCGUGAAAUUCCCGGGCUCAACCUGGGGGCUGCGCUUGAGACGUGCGAUCUUGAGUGGGGAAGAGGGUCGUGGAAUUCCCAGUGUAGAGGUGAAAUUCGUAGAUAUUGGGAAGAACACCGGUGGCGAAGGCGGCGACCUGGUCCUUGACUGACGCUGAGGCGCGAAAGCGUGGGGAGCAAACAGG
Molecule: ribosomal RNA, 253 nt
Filed under: uncultured bacterium
Lineage: Bacteria
Description: partial 16S ribosomal RNA
Rfam family: Bacterial small subunit ribosomal RNA
Source: RNAcentral